Papaver somniferum (opium poppy) is the source of this 862-nucleotide long non-coding RNA. RefSeq lists it as uncharacterized. The record is from RefSeq and is a predicted model, not a curated record. NCBI's taxonomy places the organism in Eukaryota, Viridiplantae, Streptophyta, Magnoliopsida, Ranunculales, Papaveraceae. The transcript is spliced from 3 exons.
AAGAAGCAGCGGCAGAAAGAUGAAAGAGAUGCUGUCAGUCCUUCCGAUAGAGAUUCAGUGAUGAAGACCAUGCCGAAAAUGAUUUUUUUUUACAUCGACGGUAUUGUAUUAGUGAUGAAGACCAUGCCGGAAGUGAUGAAGACCAUGCUGGAAAAUGGUGUCAGCGUGCUCAACAAAUAACUUACAAUACCGAUACUGUACUUUUAGAUCACAGUCGUUAGAACUAAACGUGGAAGUUCAAACAUAAUCAAUGUGACGCUGAUCUUCUUCUUUUGCAUGCAACUAACUGUAAUGCACUUUAUUAAUACAAUUACUUCAAUGGCAGAGAAAGGAACCUGGAAAAAUAACUCUCCCGGCUCAAAACUUGCAAGCCAGCUGGUUCAUUUCUAGGGAGUAUCUCAGAAACUGUUGCUUGCACGAAAGUUCAUAGCAUAGGGCAUAUGUCGCCAGAAAAACAGGGCAUUUGUUCAAAAGUCUGAACAUGAUUCAUGUCUGGAAUGUGGAUUUCAGUUGAAAACGACAAAUUACUUAAACAACUGGUACUGACAAGUAUUUACAGAAAAAUGCACUCAGUAACAAGGAAGACUUAUUAGGUUCAAAUGACACCGCUGAGUAACUUCUAAAUUCACAUCAAUAAAGUCUAAAACCACCAGCACAAGAUGAAGACGACAAUAGAUUCACUGAAAACUACAGCACCAGUAGAUAUGUCAGACUACUUAUCAUCACAUCUUGUGACAAAACUCUAUAACUGAAGUAGGAGAUGAAUCCAAAAAAUGUAAGACCUAGCUAUCACCAUGACAUACUAUUUAAACGUGUAUGUGUAUUAUUGUCAAAAAUCUCAUUUGAAUGACUAGUACAAGAA